AAGGUGGAUUUAUGUAUGUACACACAAUAUAGAAAUACACACAUAUGUAUAAACCAUUUGUGUUUUUCCAGUGAUGCUACAUAACUGAGAACCAUAAAACACCAGAAUCAUAGUAGAAGAUGACAAAGUCAAUGGACAACAACAGAUUAGCAGUGAUGAGCUGUCCACAAGACAUGUUGCAAAGUUAUUGUCCUGUUGAUGUAGAUCAUUAGAAAAGGAACAUAAUAAGGUCUCUUCCAUCUCUAGAUCUAUGAGCCUAUGGCAGGGACCAGAGUUAUAAAAGAUGAGAAUGAGAAAUAAUGGAAAGGAGUUAGAAAGCAGGUGAAUUUCUCUUUAUGUUUCCUGAAUCUGAAAAGUUGUGGCUACCAAAAAAGAUGGAUAAAUAAGAGUCCCUGGAGGAAGACAUCUACAUCAAUGAACUCCCUAUUGUUCCUGUGUCAUUUUACUUUAAUUGUUGAGAUUAAUAAAUUGCCCUUCCCAUGUUUCUGUCAAGAC
RNAcentral lists this long non-coding RNA (495 nucleotides) under Monodelphis domestica (gray short-tailed opossum). Its description in RNAcentral is "lncRNA (ENSMODG00000033619.2)". Lineage: Eukaryota; Metazoa; Chordata; Mammalia; Didelphimorphia; Didelphidae. The record is from RNAcentral.